AAAAAUUUAAAUUAAUUUACUAAAAAAUUAAUAGUUAUGUUCUUUAAAUUUAAAAAAUUUGGCGGUAUUUUAGUCUUAUUAGAGGAAUCUGUUUAUUAAUUGAUAAUCCACGAUUAAUUUUACUUAUUUUAAUUAAUUCAUAUAUCGCUGUCAUGAAUAUAUUUUAAAAAAUUUAUUUUCUUUAAUUAUUUUAAUAAUUUAUGUUAAGUCAAGAUGUGGUUUAUAAAUAAGAAUAUAAUGGAUUACAUUAAAUUUUAUUUUUGGAUUUUAAAUGAAAAUUAAAAUGAAAUUGGAUUUAAUAGUAAGUUUAAUUAUUUUAUUAAUAUGAAUAAAGAUCUA
This 339-nucleotide ribosomal RNA is filed under the name Hyalopterus arundiniformis. RNAcentral describes it as "partial small subunit ribosomal RNA". Lineage: Eukaryota; Metazoa; Arthropoda; Insecta; Hemiptera; Aphididae. The record is from RNAcentral.